This 638-nucleotide ribosomal RNA is filed under the name uncultured bacterium. RNAcentral's name for it is "bacterial SSU rRNA". It matches the Rfam family "Bacterial small subunit ribosomal RNA", at positions 113 to 737 of the family's 1533-position model. The record is from RNAcentral.
ACACGUGGGCAACCUGCCUGUAAGUUGGGGAUAACUCCGGGAAACCGGGGCUAAUACCGAAUGAUAGAAUGUGGCGCAUGCCACGCUUUUGAAAGAUGGUUUCGGCUAUCGCUUACAGAUGGGCCUGCGGUGCAUUAGCUAGUUGGUAGGGUAAUGGCCUACCAAGGCAACGAUGCAUAGCCGACCUGAGAGGGUGAUCGGCCACACUGGGACUGAGACACGGCCCAGACUCCUACGGGAGGCAGCAGUAGGGAAUCUUCCGCAAUGGACGAAAGUCUGACGGAGCAACGCCGCGUGUAUGAAGAAGGUUUUCGGAUCGUAAAGUACUGUUGUUAGAGAAGAACAAGGAUAAGAGUAACUGCUUGUCCCUUGACGGUAUCUAACCAGAAAGCCACGGCUAACUACGUGCCAGCAGCCGCGGUAAUACGUAGGUGGCAAGCGUUGUCCGGAUUUAUUGGGCGUAAAGCGCGCGCAGGCGGUCUUUUAAGUCUGAUGUGAAAGCCCCCGGCUUAACCGGGGAGGGUCAUUGGAAACUGGAAGACUGGAGUGCANAAGAGGAGAGUGGAAUUCCACGUGUAGCGGUGAAAUGCGUAGAUAUGUGGAGGAACACCAGUGGCGAAGGCGACUCUCUGGUCUGU